UGCUGAUGAAUUCAUGCACCAUACGAACAUGGGUUACUCCUCCUGCAUUUCGCACGUCUCGUUGGAGACAGUCGAUCGGAUCAGACGAAUCGAGUAUAUAUAUCUGGCAAUACUGCUCCCGCCCAAAUCUAUUUCUACCGGGGAGCCAGCCCCUAAGAGGUUCCGCAUAGACGAGGAAGGGGCACUUUCGGUGACAAGCGCACCGAAAGGAAAAAUUGAGAACCUUGCCACGUGGACCGAGGCAUGGUCUAUUUUUAGCCUGAUCGCCAUCCGCGAUCAACCUCGCUGCGCCGCUGCACUGAUGCAGCAUCGAAUACGCAUGGUACAGGCAGCCGGGAAGUACUACUUCUCGGCAGUCGUGGGCUAUGACACGCCGGCACGCCGGGCCCUGUCAAAGGACCCAAGCCGAUCCCUGGCGGAGGUCGACACGGAGCUUUUCGCGACGUGUUUCACAUGAAAGGCCCUCCCCAAUUGCAGCAUUUACAAGAAGGUGGGGCACUUGGCCGGAGCAUACACCUCGGCCUUUCGCGGCAACCAGGCGAAAGAGAGUGCAAGCACUAAAUCAACCGAAAUCUGCCGCCGCUACAAUCACGGCACCUGCAGCGGCCCAUGUCGCUUUCGACACGUCUGCCUCUUCUGCUCAGGCUCGCACGCCGUGUCAGCCUGUCCAGCCAAGAAAUAAGAGCGAACAGCAAUCAGCCCCGACACCACUUUCUUGCAUUCAUCCACCCCCUAAUACACCUAUGAACAUUGCAUUACACCCCAACAUCCCUAUCAAUAUUGAUGCAUUACACACUGAAUUGCUGGCGCACCCUAAUCCUGCA
This is a long non-coding RNA of Sycon ciliatum, 824 nucleotides long. RefSeq lists it as uncharacterized. The record is from RefSeq and is a predicted model, not a curated record. The transcript is spliced from 2 exons. Lineage: Eukaryota; Metazoa; Porifera; Calcarea; Leucosolenida; Sycettidae.